Molecule: unclassified non-coding RNA, 379 nt
Filed under: Prostanthera serpyllifolia
Lineage: Eukaryota; Viridiplantae; Streptophyta; Magnoliopsida; Lamiales; Lamiaceae
Description: partial external transcribed spacer
Source: RNAcentral
UUCMUCACYGACGUCGAUCGGCGUGCUGCAAUCCGUAAGGAAUCCACCACAACCGAUGCGAACGUCGUUCGCACGUAGCGUYGAACGCGUGGGGCAGAUAGAGGCCGAGGCCUCGUGCCCACAACAUGUUCCGCAUCCGAGAUUUCGAGCAUUGCGCCUUGGGUGGGCUACACGAGCGCAUGCGCGCACGCACACGAGUGCCAACCACGACGCAUGCUACGGGUUCCAAUCCGCACCACGACACCAUUGGGCGACGCAGAGCGGAAUGGAAAAGGGACGAUUUUGCCUGCAUAAUGCCUUGAAGAUAGGUAUCGAGCACAGGAGGCCGCAAUCGAACAGGGCUUGGUGGCCCUUGUGCCGAUGAUUGAAGAGGCGCGGU